AGUGAACGCUGGCGGUAGGCCUAACACAUGCAAGUCGAACGGCAGCACAGUAAGAGCUUGCUCUUACGGGUGGCGAGUGGCGGACGGGUGAGGAAUACAUCGGAAUCUACUUUUUCGUGGGGGAUAACGUAGGGAAACUUACGCUAAUACCGCAUACGACCUACGGGUGAAAGCAGGGGAUCUUCGGACCUUGCGCGAUUGAAUGAGCCGAUGUCGGAUUAGCUAGUUGGCGGGGUAAAGGCCCACCAAGGCGACGAUCCGUAGCUGGUCUGAGAGGAUGAUCAGGCACACUGGAACUGAGACACGGUCCAGGCGCCUACGGGAGGCAGCAGUGGGGAAUAUUGGACAAUGGGCGCAAGCCUGAUCCAGCCAUACCGCGUGGGUGAAGAAGGCCUUCGGGUUGUAAAGCCCUUUUGUUGGGAAAGAAAAGCAGCAGGUUAAUACCCCGCUGUUCUGACGGUACCCAAAGAAUAAGCACCGGCUAACUUCGU
Molecule: ribosomal RNA, 491 nt
Filed under: uncultured bacterium
Lineage: Bacteria
Description: partial 16S ribosomal RNA
Rfam family: Bacterial small subunit ribosomal RNA
Source: RNAcentral